CAAACUCCAAGCGUUGGCUUGAUGUUGGCCGAUGUCCGGAGAGGGACACGGCUGGAAGGGGUUGGCGCCUCCGGCGGACCACGAGCGUAGCGAGACGAGAGUCAAAAGCGCAUCGAGGGUCCGGACGGACGGCGGCCUUGAGAAAGGGCUGGGAAGCCGAUAGCAACA
This 168-nucleotide unclassified non-coding RNA is filed under the name uncultured Scolecobasidium. Its description in RNAcentral is "sequence contains ITS2". The record is from RNAcentral. Lineage: Eukaryota; Fungi; Ascomycota.